GUACUUACCUAGCAGGGAACAUUUGAUCAUGAAAGUGGUUCUGGCAGGGUAAGUUUCAUCCACUGCACUCAGGUCACUCUGACCCAGGCAAUUUCCCCAAACAAAGAAAACUCGACAGCAAUUUCUAUUGGUGAAGGACUGCAUUUGCAGGG
This 152-nucleotide small nuclear RNA is filed under the name Suricata suricatta (meerkat). RNAcentral describes it as "U1 spliceosomal RNA (ENSSSUG00005020087.1)". It matches the Rfam family "U1 spliceosomal RNA". Rfam says of the family: U1 is a small nuclear RNA (snRNA) component of the spliceosome (involved in pre-mRNA splicing). The record is from RNAcentral. Lineage: Eukaryota; Metazoa; Chordata; Mammalia; Carnivora; Herpestidae.